Molecule: long non-coding RNA, 486 nt
Organism: Cyclopterus lumpus (lumpfish)
Lineage: Eukaryota; Metazoa; Chordata; Actinopteri; Perciformes; Cyclopteridae
Exons: 3
Source: RefSeq, a predicted model, not a curated record
GCAGUCUCAAGUGGAUUGACAAGAAAAUGAAGAUCAUUUUUUAUUUGCUGCUGAUUCUCAGAGUGGGGCGAUGCACAGAUGAUCAGAUCCUUGAAACAAAGACUGUUGGUGUUGGACAAAACGUGACUCUGACUUGUGCUCGCGACACAUCUCUCAUCCGAGAAACCUGGUUUUGGAUCAGAAUUGUUUCUGGAAACUCACCUGAAUUCUUGGGAGGAACAUUUCAUUUUGAUUAUGAUGAUAGUGAUGAGCCUCUUCGCAUUAAAACAAAACAAGAACCUGGAACAUUCCUGCUGCAUAUUCAUGAAGCAAAGCUAAGCGAUGCCGGACUUUACUCCUGUAUUAAAGUAAACCAACUUAAUUUAACAUUUUUAAAAGGAACAUUUCUGAGUAUUGGAGAACCUGAUAUCACUUUCAUCACUCAAGACUUCCCAUCUGCUCCGGUCCGUCCAGGAGACUCAGUGACUCUGCAGUGUUCCGCCCUCU